This 961-nucleotide non-coding RNA is filed under the name Narke japonica (Japanese sleeper ray). RNAcentral's name for it is "12S ribosomal RNA". It matches the Rfam family "Bacterial small subunit ribosomal RNA". Lineage: Eukaryota; Metazoa; Chordata; Chondrichthyes; Torpediniformes; Narkidae. The record is from RNAcentral.
UGCAGUUUUGGUCCUGGACUCAGUAUUAAUUUUAACUAAGUUUACACAUGCAAGUUUCAGCACUCCAGUGAAAGCGCCCCAAUCAAACCAUUAUUUGAUUAGGAGCUGGUAUCAGGCACGCCCUAAGAUAGCCCAUAACACCUCGCUCUAAGCCACACCCCCAAGGGAAAUCAGCAGUGAUAAGUAUUAUAUAAUGAGCGAAAGCUUGAAUUAGCUAUAGUUAAAACGGUUGGUUAAUCUCGUGCCAGCCACCGCGGUUAUACGAGUAACACAUAUUAAUACUUGACGGCGUAAAGGGUGAUUAAAAUUAAUUCUAUCUACAUAUUAAAGUUAAAAAUUUAUAAAGCUGUUACACGCACUUAUAAAUAAAAAAAUACACUAACGAAAGUGACUUUACAGAACUGAUUAUUUGAAUUCACGAAAAUUAAAACCCAAACUAGGAUUAGAUACCCUACUAUGUUUAAUUAUAAACAGAUAUCGAUUUACUACCUUAUUCGCCAGAGAACUACAAGCGCUAGCUUAAAACCCAAAGGACUUGGCGGUCCUUCAAAUCCCCCUAGAGGAGCCUGUUCUAUAACCGAUAAUCCACGUUAAACCUCACCACUCCUUGCCCUUACCGCCUAUAUACCGCCGUCGACAGCUUACCCCAUGAGGGAAUAAAAGUAAACUAAAUGAAUAUAAUUAUUCAAUACGUCAGGUCGAGGUGUAGCACAUGUAGUGGAAAGAAAUGGGCUACAUUCUUUAUCCAAAGAAUCACAGACAAUAAAUGAAAAACAAUUAACAAGGUGGAUUUAGCAGUAAGAAUUAAAUAAGCAUAUUAUUCUGAAUCCGGCUCUGAAGCGCGCACACACCGCCCGUCACUCUCCUCAAACUAAAAAUCUAAUUAAAUAAAAAAAAUAACAUUUUAAGAGGAGGCAAGUCGUAACAUGGUAAGUGUACUGGAAGGUGCACUUAGAAUAAU